Molecule: non-coding RNA, 77 nt
Organism: Podarcis lilfordi (Lilford's wall lizard)
Lineage: Eukaryota; Metazoa; Chordata; Lepidosauria; Squamata; Lacertidae
Source: the annotation of a GenBank genome assembly
UGGAAGGAUAGCUCAGAUUGUAAAGCAUGAGACUCUUAAUCUCAGGGUCAUCGGUUUGAGCCCCACAUUGGGCAAAA